GAGAGUUUGAUCCUGGCUCAGAGUGAACGCUGGCGGUAGGCCUAACACAUGCAAGUCGAACGGCAGCACAGGAGAGCUUGCUCUCUGGGUGGCGAGUGGCGGACGGGUGAGGAAUACAUCGGAAUCUACUUUUUCGUGGGGGAUAACGUAGGGAAACUUACGCUAAUACCGCAUACGACCUACGGGUGAAAGCAGGGGAUCUUCGGACCUUGCGCGAUUGAAUGAGCCGAUGUCGGAUUAGCUAGUUGGCGGGGUAAAGGCCCACCAAGGCGACGAUCCGUAGCUGGUCUGAGAGGAUGAUCAGCCACACUGGAACUGAGACACGGUCCAGACUCCUACGGGAGGCAGCAGUGGGGAAUAUUGGACAAUGGGCGCAAGCCUGAUCCAGCCAUACCGCGUGGGUGCCCAAGGCCUUCGGGUUGUAAAGCCCUUUUGUUGGGAAAGAAAUCCAGCUGGCUAAUACCCGGUUGGGAUGACGGUACCCAAAGAAUAAGCACCGGCUAACUUCGUGCCAGCAGCCGCGGUAAUACGAAGGGUGCAAGCGUUACUCGGAAUUACUGGGCGUAAAGCGUGCGUAGGUGGUCGUUUAAGUCCGUUGUGAAAGCCCUG
Molecule: ribosomal RNA, 609 nt
Filed under: uncultured bacterium
Lineage: Bacteria
Description: bacterial SSU rRNA
Rfam family: Bacterial small subunit ribosomal RNA
Source: RNAcentral